UGCAUCGCUUCAUUAUAAACCCUUCGAUGCUGAUUAUGACAGUGAUUCGAAGUGUCCAAAGUGCUCUCAAUUCAUUACAUACAUUAGUCAUAACCUUCAAGAAAUACAUUUUGGAGUGAUUCAGCUUAAUUGACAUAUGACCAAGUGAUUUAAAACCAAGUGAUUCAACCAAUGCUGAUAAAAACUUAUCGGAAAGGAAGAUACCAGUGUACUACUAUUCAUUAUGAGUGAUUUACAUUUGGAUCCUACUGACACAAAAAAAAACGAACAUCACCAGCUACAUCAUCAACUUCUUCAUUCCUCAUCCGGCAUUUCGGGCACAUGCAGCUCCCGAUAGUUCUUUUUAAACUUUUUGUUUGUAAUUUCAAUCGUUUUCUUGCUCAUUUACUCAUUUUCUUGAUUUGCUUGGGAACUAUGGAGCCUGCAAAAGUGAGCAGUUGUGUUGAUGUGUCACUGACAAAAGGCAAGGAUAGGUGUUUGCAUGCAUUAUAAACAGAACUUCAACAGAAACCGAGUGUAAAUAACCAAGUUCUCAUUAUUCCCAACGGCUUUUCCAAUUAAUGAGUUGUCUAAAGCCAGGUGGAUAUACAGUUUCUCAUUAAUAAAGUAAAAUAUGAUCAUGAAUUCUUUGUGGAGGCUCUGAAGAGGUGAAUUGGAAGAAUUGGCAAAUGAUCUUAAAGUCCUUGUGGAAGCUCUGGAGAGGUAUAAACGGAAGAACAUGUUACAUCCGUUGCGGCUGUGUGCAACAUCUUGGAGAUACACGCCCAGUUUAUGCGGGAAAAGGUUUAUGCACGUACGAAAUUUUCUAACAGAAAACCCUAAAGAAUUCUAGAGGAAUUUCUAUAGACGUUCUAUAGGACUUCUAUCGAAUUAUUUUCCACAAUAAAAAAAUGUGGAUCUCAUAUUUUUCGCCCAAUUUUCACAUCAAACAAUAACAAAAAAUCAUGCUAAACCCCUUUCUUUAGGGUAUCUUUAGGGUCCAUUAAAAAUUUUCGUACGUGUGGACUUGCUGUUUUUUGUAACUACGCACGUCAAAGGGUUUUUUUCUCUAACAGAACACAACGCUUCAUUUGUGGACGUACUCAUAAACGUAACAGUUAAUUGAACAAUCUUUCCACGAUAUUAUGCGGGAUGGAAAAACAAUAAUUGUUUCUUUUUUAGAUAUAUUUGGAUCUGGAACCUUCCACUGAAUGCUUGUAUCCAGCUGAGGACAUUUGAAAUCAUAUUCGCGCAAAAAUUCGUAUAAAAACCCAAUUUUCGUUCAUGAUGGAUAUUUUUUCCAAAUAAUUGUCACUCGG
Diachasmimorpha longicaudata is the source of this 1298-nucleotide long non-coding RNA. RefSeq lists it as uncharacterized. The record is from RefSeq and is a predicted model, not a curated record. The transcript is spliced from 3 exons. Lineage: Eukaryota; Metazoa; Arthropoda; Insecta; Hymenoptera; Braconidae.